Molecule: ribosomal RNA, 117 nt
Filed under: Chloroflexota bacterium
Lineage: Bacteria; Bacillati; Chloroflexota
Also listed under: 1 other name
Source: RNAcentral
UCUGGUGAUUCUAGCGAGGCGGAACCACCCGUUCCCAUCCCGAACACGGAAGUGAAACACCUCAGCGCCCACGAUACUCGCAGGGCAACUUGCUGGGAAAAUAGGUCAUCGCCAGAG